AAGUCGUAACAAGGUAACCGUAGGUGAACCUGCGGUUGGAUCAUUACAAAAAUGAUUUUUAUAGGUAGAGUUUUUUAAACCUUACAGUUUUUAAAAUUCCUUAUAAAAAAAUUCACCCUUUGUGCACUGUAAAUGUUUUUCAGGUGUUGCUCUUUUUGAUUAUUAUUUUUUUAUGACGAUUGAUUUGAAAUACACCUGGCAGUAUUAAACUCUUUAUUUAUUAUUUGACUGAAUUUUUUCUAUAAAAUGAAAAUGAAAACAACUUUUGACAACGGAUCUCUUGGCUCUC
RNAcentral lists this unclassified non-coding RNA (289 nucleotides) under fungal sp. RNAcentral's name for it is "partial internal transcribed spacer region". The stretch from base 1 to 46 matches the Rfam family "Eukaryotic small subunit ribosomal RNA", at positions 1786 to 1831 of the family's 1831-position model. The record is from RNAcentral. Lineage: Eukaryota; Fungi. RNAcentral also lists the same sequence under 1 other name.